AGGAAGAUGAUAAAAUGCACAAUGAGCCUAGAAGACCCCUCUGCAGUGCAAGCACCAGUCCAAGCACAAAUUGAGAGACACCCAAGACCUCCAGAAGGAGAGUUCAUCCCAGUGUGAAUGAUCAGGCAAAGGAGGUCUACACAGAAAUGAUUUAUUGUCUACAAAAAUCAGCACCCACAGCCACAAAGUCUGAUCCUCUGUUUGGACUACCACCCAGGACAAUGGAUUGGAUCCCAGUAUGCGACACAAAACAACGGCACUGCAGAAGGGGCAGACGGAGCGGUCUUCUGGUCAGGCUCCGUAGACGGGCACAUCGUUUACCUCUCCUGAGUAUACUAUUCGCAAAUGUCCAGUCUCUUGACAACAAGGUAGACGAAAUUUGAGCAAGGAUUGCCUUCCAGAGAGACAUCAGAGAUUGUAACAUUCUUAGUUUCACGGAAACAUCGGAAACACGGAAACUCACUCAGGAUACAUUAUCAGAGUCGGUAGAGAAACCCGGUUUCUUCACACAUCACGCCGAAAGUAACAAACAUCUCUCUGGUAAGAAGAAGGGCGGGGGUGUAUGCCUUAUGAUUAACGAGUCGUGGUGUGCAACAUACAGGAACUCAAGUCCUUUUGUUCACCUGACCUAGAAUUCCUUACGAUCAAAUGUCAACCGCAUUAUCUACCAAGAGAAUUCUCUUUAAUUAUAAUCACAGCCGUGUAUAUCCCCCCCCAAGACACCUCGACGGCCCUGAAAGAACUUCAUUGGACUCUAUGUAAAUUGGAAACCACAUAUCCUGAGGAUACAUUUAUUGUAGCUGGGGAUUUUAACAAGGCUAAUCUGAAAACAAGGCUCCCUAAAUUGUAUCAGCAUAUCGAAUGCGCGACCUGGUCUGGCACAACUCUGGAUCAUUGCUACUCUAAUUUCCGCGACACAUACAAAGCCCUUCCUUGCCCUCCUUUUGGCAAAUCUGACCACGACUCCAUUUUGUUGCUCCCAGCCUAUAGACAGAAACUAAAACAGGAAACGCCCGUGCUCAGGUCUGUUCAAUGCUGGUCCGACCAAUCUGAUUCCAUGCUUCAAGAUUUCUUCAAAUCAAAUCAAAUUUUAUCCGAUCACAUGGACUGGGAUAUGUUCCAGAUAGCAUCGGACAACAAAAUUGAUGUAUACGCUGAUUCGGUGAGCAAGUUUAUUAGCAAGUGCAUUGGUGAUGUGGUACCCACGGUGACUAUUAAAACCUUCCCCAACCAGAAACCGUAAUACACUACAUGUUAUUUUACCAUAGCCCCAUGUCACUCUGGUCAACUGAAAUGCGCCAUAUGUAAUGUAUAUUAAGGUUAUAAUAGGGUUUCAUUUGAGUUUUUCCUUUUGUCCCUAUCUUCUCUGUUGUAAGAAUGUAAGAAUCAUGUUCAUCGAUUACAGCUCAGCAUUUAACACCAUAGUACCCUCCAAAUGCGUCAUUAACUUAAGCUCGAGAACCUGGGUCUCGACCCCGCCCUGGGCAACUGGGUCCUGGACUUUGACGGGCCACCCCCAGGUGGUGAGGGUAGGAAACAACAUCUCCACCCCGCUGAUCCUCAACACUGGGGCCCCACAAGGGUGCAUUCUCAGCCCUCUCCUGUACUCCCUGUUCACUCAUGACUGCGUGGCCAUGCACGCCUCCAACUCAAUCAUCAAGUUUGCAGAUGACACUACAAUGGUAGGCUUGAUUACCAACAACGACGAGAUGGCCUACAGGGAGAAAGUUAGGGCCCUCGGAGUGUGGCGUCAGGAAAAUAACCUCAAAAUCAACAAAACAAAGGAGAUGAUCGUGGACUUCAGGAAACAGAAGAGGGAUCACUCCCCCUAUCCACAUCGACGGGAUAGUAGUGGAGAAGGUGGAAGGUUUUAAGUUCCUCGGCGUACACAUCACUUUUACAGAUGCACAAUCAAGAGCAUCCUGUCGGGCUGUAUCACCGCCUGGUACGGCAACUGCUCUGCCCACAACCGUAAGGAUCUCCAGAGGGUAGUGAGGUCUGCACAACGCAUCACCAGGGGUAAACUACCUGCCCUCCAGUACACCUACACCACCGAGCCACUACCUGUUCACCCCACUAUCUUCCAGAAGGCGAGGUCAGUACAGGUGCAUCAAAGCUGGGACCGAGAGACUGAAAAACAGCUUCUAUCUCAAGGCCAUAAGACUGUUAAACAGCCAUCACUAACAUUGUGUGGCUGCUGCCAACAUAGACUCAAUCUCUAGCCACUUUAAAAAUGAAUAAUUUGAUGUAAUAAAUGUAUCACUAGUCACUUUAAACAAUGCCACUUUAUAUAAUGUUUACAUACCCUACAUUACUCAUCUCAUAUGUAUAUACUGUACUCUAUACCAUUUACUGCAUCUUGCCUAUGCCGUUCGGCCUCAUCCAUAUAUUUAUAUGUACAUGGGCUGAAUAAUUUUGCACGCCCAAUUUUUCAGUUUUUGAUUUGUUAAAAAAGUUUGAAAUAUCCAAUAAAUGUCGUUCCAC
Molecule: long non-coding RNA, 2484 nt
Organism: Oncorhynchus tshawytscha (Chinook salmon)
Lineage: Eukaryota; Metazoa; Chordata; Actinopteri; Salmoniformes; Salmonidae
Source: Ensembl